GACAGAGGGUGCGAACGUUGCUCGGAAUCACUGGGCGUAAAGCGCGUGUAGGCGGACCAGCAAGUCAGGUGUGAAAUCCCUGGGCUCAACCUAGGAACUGCAUCUGAAACUGCUGGUCUUGAGUGUUCGGAGAGGAAGCGGAAUUCCUGGUGUAGAGGUGAAAUUCGUAGAUAUCAGGAGGAACACCGGUGGCG
This 194-nucleotide ribosomal RNA is filed under the name uncultured bacterium. RNAcentral's name for it is "partial 16S ribosomal RNA". It matches the Rfam family "Bacterial small subunit ribosomal RNA", at positions 524 to 717 of the family's 1533-position model. The record is from RNAcentral.